This 465-nucleotide ribosomal RNA is filed under the name uncultured Klebsiella sp. Its description in RNAcentral is "bacterial SSU rRNA". It matches the Rfam family "Bacterial small subunit ribosomal RNA", at positions 338 to 795 of the family's 1533-position model. The record is from RNAcentral. Lineage: Bacteria; Pseudomonadati; Pseudomonadota; Gammaproteobacteria; Enterobacterales; Enterobacteriaceae.
CCUACGGGUGGCUGCAGUGGGGAAUAUUGCACAAUGGGCGCAAGCCUGAUGCAGCCAUGCCGCGUGUGUGAAGAAGGCCUUCGGGUUGUAAAGCACUUUCAGCGGGGAGGGAGGCGGUGAGGUUAAUAACCUCAUCGAUUGACGUUACCCGCAGAAGAAGCACCGGCUAACUCCGUGCCAGCAGCCGCGGUAAUACGGAGGGUGCAAGCGUUAAUCGGAAUUACUGGGCGUAAAGCGCACGCAGGCGGUCUGUCAAGUCGGAUGUGAAAUCCCCGGGCUCAACCUGGGAACUGCAUUCGAAACUGGCAGGCUAGAGUCUUGUAGAGGGGGGUAGAAUUCCAGGUGUAGCGGUGAAAUGCGUAGAGAUCUGGAGGAAUACCGGUGGCGAAGGCGGCCCCCUGGACAAAGACUGACGCUCAGGUGCGAAAGCGUGGGGAGCAAACAGGAUUAGAUACCCGGGUAGUC